This is a non-coding RNA of Lutzomyia longipalpis, 72 nucleotides long. NCBI's taxonomy places the organism in Eukaryota, Metazoa, Arthropoda, Insecta, Diptera, Psychodidae. The record is from Rfam.
GCCGUGAUCGUCUAGUGGUUAUGACAUCUCGUUGUGGCCGAGAAAGCCCAGGUUCGAUUCCUGGUCACGGCA